AUUUUUAUUAUUAGCGACGGUAAAUCUUUACUGUAGUAAGAUUAGUUAUUAAUUGUGACGCAUUUUCAUGUCGCCGUCGCAAACAUAUACAUAUCUAUUGUAUUAAAAAACCACCUCCCUAUCACUCCUCUUCCUCACUUAACCACCACUCCCUUCCCAAACCUCAACUGUCGAUCACACCCUCCUCUCACAGAUCCAUGCCCAAGCUCAACCUCCACUGCGCUGCCACCGAGCCCAAGGAGGCCAAGCUCCAGGGCUGCCGCUUCGAGGAGGGCAUCACCGACGCCAUCGAGCGCUUCACCGACGUCGUCGAGCCCUUCACCGAGUCCAUCUCCUUCGACAAAGCCCUCUACAAGCAUGACAUCAUAGGCAGCAAGGCCCACGCCUCAAUGCUCCCCAAACAGGUUUUUGAUGGUCUGUUUGGUGACAAAGAAUGAGGGUUUAAUUGUUCCUAGCUACACAUGCACAUUUGCAAAGGGCUCAACCUGUUUUGCUUCAGCAUUUGCUCUUGGCUUUCGUUGAGCAGGUACCAUUAUUGACAACAGAAUUUGUUAUCCAAAGAAUAAUGAUUUUUAACUAUGUGUGCAGGCCGGAAUGAUAUAUAGUGAGUAUCAAAUAUUGUGCUUUUGUUUAUGGCUCUAUGUUUUUUUUAUCACAGUUCUCUCUCCUUAUAUUAAUCAUAAAUAUUUAUAUACAAUUAUGAUAUAGCUUGUAGCUAGAUGUAGUUGGUGUAUCCUAGCCAAGUAUGCACCAAGUUUACAGUUGUGAUUGAUGCUCUCAAAAGUGAUUGGUUGAUUCUCAUAUCUCUGUAUGCCUGAGACUGACUACUUAUUUUUGUUAGGAUAUUAGAGUCCUUAUAGGUAUUGUUGCACAAGAUAUCUUUUCACUGUCAUACACCAUCGUUGCUCCUAAAUAGUAGAUACAAAACAUGAUGGUGAGUUUGGUUUAUUGCAGCUUCGUGUUUUAUAUAGCAUCAGUUUUGUAUUACCUUAUAGACAGAGGACUAUCUAUUACUAUUUCCAGUCUUCAAAAUAAAGUGUAAUAUGUGAAUGAUGAAGUGGUCAAAAAUAGCAAAGGUUAUAUUUAAGUGAUAUGUAAAGUUCUGGCAAAAUAGUACCCAAAACACACUAUUUCCAAUUGUUACUUUCACUAAAAAAUAUGUAGUUAAGGAAAGAGGCAGAAAGUGCAUUGAAUCUGACAACAA
Molecule: long non-coding RNA, 1204 nt
Organism: Rosa rugosa (rugosa rose)
Lineage: Eukaryota; Viridiplantae; Streptophyta; Magnoliopsida; Rosales; Rosaceae
Exons: 3
Source: RefSeq, a predicted model, not a curated record